GAACGCUGGCGGCGUGCCUAAUACAUGCAAGUCGAGCGAACGGACGAGAAGCUUGCUUCUCUGAUGUUAGCGGCGGACGGGUGAGUAACACGUGGAUAACCUACCUAUAAGACUGAGAUAACUUCGGGAAACCGGAGCUAAUACCGGAUGAUAUUUUGAACCGCAUGGUUCAAAAGUGAAAGACGGUCUUGCUGUCACUUAUAGAUGGAUCCGCGCUGCAUUAGCUAGUUGGUAAGGUAACGGCUUACCAAGGCAACGAUGCAUAGCCGACCUGAGAGGGUGAUCGGCCACACUGGAACUGAGACACGGUCCAGACUCCUACGGGAGGCAGCAAUAGGGAAUCUUCCGCAAUGGGCGAAAGCCUGACGGAGCAACGCCGAGUGAGUGAUGAAGGUCUUCGGAUCGUAAAACUCUGUUAUUAGGGAAGAACAUAUGUGUAAGUAACUGUGCACAUCUUGACGGUACCUAAUCAGAAAGCCACGGCUAACUACGUG
Molecule: ribosomal RNA, 494 nt
Filed under: uncultured bacterium
Lineage: Bacteria
Description: partial 16S ribosomal RNA
Rfam family: Bacterial small subunit ribosomal RNA
Source: RNAcentral